GGAAAUAUUGCAAAAUACAAAAAGAUUCCUGCCAACAGGUACAAUGGAAGGACUGUUUAUUAUAAUUUUUAAGAAAUUUUAAUUGCAAAAAUGGUGUGCCACUGUUGUUACUAUGACAUGUCAAAAUUUACAUGUAUUUUAGGAUUUACAUAUUCAGAUCAGAACUAAAACCUGACGAGGUUUUCCAUUGAUUCUAUGUUUUAUUUUAUUUUUUUUUAAAUGGUAUUCAACAUUUUUAAUCUGAAAUGAGGUUAACAGUUGUGGUUUUUCCGCACUUUAUUAAGCACUAACUUGUGAUAGAAAAUGAUGGAGCUAAAAAGCCAUAAUCUGUACCAACAAAUAUUGGUGCCUCUUCUUUGCACUUCUGUAGUAAGCAUGCCUUUAUUACACAUGUUAUCGCCAUGUGAGAGUCUGUAACUAAAGUUUGUCCUCUUCAGACUACAGUGAGUUCAUAAAGGCUUGAAGAAAUUGAGGAUUUUACUAGUUAUUUCAUGUCACAGUAAAUUGGAUUGUGUGUGAAGAGGUUCAACAGUGUAAGUCAUUAAACAGUGAUCUGAUGUGUUUCCUUUCUCUAGGAUACUGAUCUGAUCGUCUCAAGUCUGAGUGAACAGAUCUUUGGUUUUGCCUUUGCUGGUGACCUGCUCCAGAAGAUCCUCUCUCUCUAUCAUUAUAAGCAAUUCUGUCUAUCCUAUCACUCUCCCGACUCCAUCUAAUUUGACAGCCAUUCCAUCUUGUAUCCCUCUAUCCUCUACUGCUCUAUCUAAUUUGACAGCCAUUCUAUCUUGUAUCCCUCUAUCUCUACUGCUCUAUCUAAUUUGACAGCCAUUCUAUCUUGUAUCCCUCUAUCUCUACUGCUCUAUCUAAUUUGAGAAUCCAAGUUUUCAGAAAUCCAAGUUUUCAGAAUCCAAGUUUUCAGAAAUCCAAGUUACCAGUACUUGAUCUAUCUGUUACAGAAUUCUGAGAGAUCUCUGCUCUCACUGCUCCUUCUUUCCUGUCAUUAAGCUCUCUCACAUUCAGUCAUUUUGCUGGAAAUUACAAGUUGAAUUUACAGUACAGUAGAACUUAUAGUAGAACCUACUUACACAGCCCUACAUUAGUCAUUUUAAUUUUGCAUUAGACUUUGGAAUUAACACUGCUAGUUUGGCUUACUUUGAUACAUUGUAUAAAAUAUCACCUUUUUAUAAGUUUAUUUGUAAUAAGAUAAUCUGGUUCUUUUGUAAUACAUACAUUCAGAUAAAUAAUAAAUUAGAUCCAAAUACAUUUUGCUA
Molecule: long non-coding RNA, 1268 nt
Organism: Oreochromis niloticus (Nile tilapia)
Lineage: Eukaryota; Metazoa; Chordata; Actinopteri; Cichliformes; Cichlidae
Exons: 3
Source: RefSeq, a predicted model, not a curated record